GCCAAGAUAGCUCAGUUGGUAGAGCAUCCCCAUGGUAAGGGGAAGGUCUCGGGUCCGAUUCCCGAUCUUGGCU
Molecule: transfer RNA, 73 nt
Filed under: Candidatus Microgenomates bacterium
Lineage: Bacteria; Candidatus Microgenomatota
Also listed under: 1 other name
Description: tRNA-Thr
Rfam family: tRNA
About the family: Transfer RNA (tRNA) molecules are approximately 80 nucleotides in length.
Source: RNAcentral